AUCAAUAAGCGGAGGAAAAGAAAUCAAAUGAGAUUUCCGUAGUAGCUGCGAGUGAACUGGAAUCAAGCCUAUUGCCAAUUCUUAUGUUUCGUACAAUAAGAGAUGAGGUGUAAAGGAGUUUCGUGUUGAACGGACGCACGGCCUAAAUAUUAUCGAGUGAGUUCUCAGAGAAGGUGAAAAGCCUGUUUGGUUGUGUCUGUCCGUUGAAUCGGAAUUCUUACGAGUCUAGUUGUUUGAGAGUACAACUUAAAGCUGGUGGUAAAUUUCAUCAAAGGCUAAAUAUAUGAGGGGACUAAUAGCGAACAAGUACCAUGAGGGAAAGUUGAAAAGAACUCUGACGAGAGAGUUCAACAGUGCGUGAAACCAUAUUGAGUAAAACAGAUAACUGUGUCGUUAUGCGGUGUGUCUAUCAACAGUAUGUCGGGUGUUGCGAUGCGGCGAGUGUGAGCUGUUUAUUCAGACGAGCGCUCGCUGUUAGCAUAACUCGUUGUUCUGUGUACUAGUGCACAUCCAAUCAUUGAGAAACUAUGCUGCUGCGGCAUCGGUGCACUUCAGUCCCCGCCUAGCGGGAAGUUGUGCGCUGGGCUCUGCUAGCGGCGUAGUUUAGCUGUGUGACGGCUGUGGGAUGCGUUUGUCGAAUGUGCCUGCUUUGUCUGCGAAUUGGUUUAUUCCUUUUUGCGGUGAGUAUGGUACAGUAGGCGAGCGUCUCGCCAUCAAUGGUUGACAUU
Molecule: ribosomal RNA, 728 nt
Filed under: Euseius sojaensis
Lineage: Eukaryota; Metazoa; Arthropoda; Arachnida; Mesostigmata; Phytoseiidae
Description: eukaryotic LSU rRNA
Rfam family: Eukaryotic large subunit ribosomal RNA
Source: RNAcentral